RNAcentral lists this transfer RNA (28 nucleotides) under Tolypothrix distorta. Its description in RNAcentral is "partial tRNA-Ala". The record is from RNAcentral. Lineage: Bacteria; Bacillati; Cyanobacteriota; Cyanophyceae; Nostocales; Tolypothrichaceae.
GGGGGUUUAGCUCAAGUUGGUAGAGCGA